Manis javanica (Malayan pangolin) is the source of this 721-nucleotide long non-coding RNA. RefSeq lists it as uncharacterized. NCBI's taxonomy places the organism in Eukaryota, Metazoa, Chordata, Mammalia, Pholidota, Manidae. The record is from RefSeq and is a predicted model, not a curated record.
AGCAGCCUUCCCUCGAUUGCUUUGUGAGUACUGCUGCUGCCUUGUCGUCCUCCCCUGAGACUUGCCCUUGGUGAUUUGUUUCCCAGUGCUGAUGAUGGGGUCCUAGUGCCUUUGCUGUGAAAACCACUGAGUCCUGGACCAAAUAGCCACUCUUUCAUGCACUGAUGUAUCAACUAACAAGUGACCAUUUGUAUGUGCCUUCUGUGAGCCCUUCUGUACAAGAAUGUGAGGCCACAGAUUUAGAGCCAAGCACUAGAUUGAUAAACCAGACCCAGUGUUAUUGUCUGUCUCCAUUACUUUUGGACUUGGAGAAAAGCCAGACUUUGGGCUAAAGGAAGUGGCUUAAUGAUACAACUUGAAAGGCAUGGCCUAUCAUUAGAGUAAAACUUUAACUGAGGGAAAAUAGCAGACUAGAAUAAUAGGAACCAAGAAAGUAAGUUUAUUUUUCUCCUUCCCACCCAAGGACUAUUCUACACACAGAACUUCAUGAAGCCUCUGUGAAGACAUUAUUGAAGGCCAAGCAAUGAGCCUUCCUUGUAAUGAAGAACAACUGUCAGUUCUCUCAUGGCUCUUUCCUGCUUGGUCUCUAUCCUUCUGGCCACACACACUUCUGCUUCUCUGAUAUUGUGUUUUUCAAAAUAGCAUAGCAGUAUGCAUUUUAGUCUCUUUUUUCUACAAAAUACUGGACAAGACAUUAAAAUAAAGAGUUGUUUUUUUUUUU